GCGCCUAUAGCUCAGGUGGAUAGAGCACAGGAUUCCUAAUCCUGGGGUCCCAGGUUCGAGUCCUGGUAGGCGCG
Molecule: transfer RNA, 74 nt
Filed under: Candidatus Riflebacteria bacterium HGW-Riflebacteria-2
Lineage: Bacteria; Candidatus Rifleibacteriota
Also listed under: 4 other names
Description: tRNA-Arg
Rfam family: tRNA
About the family: Transfer RNA (tRNA) molecules are approximately 80 nucleotides in length. Their secondary structure includes four short double-helical elements and three loops (D, anti-codon, and T loops).
Source: RNAcentral